AGCAGCCGCGGUAAUUCCAGCUCCAAUAGCGUAUAUUAAAGUUGUUGCAGUUAAAAAGCUCGUAGUUGAAUUUCGGGAUCAAUACGUCGGUCGUGCUUCGGUACGUACUGGUGUCAUUGAUUUCUCCCUUCUGACGAACCAUGAUGUCAUUAACUUGGUGUCAUGGGAAAUCAGGACUGUUACUUUGAAAAAAUUAGAGUGUUUAAAGCAGGCUCACGCUUGAAUACAUUAGCAUGGAAUAAUGAAAUAGGACGUUCGAUCCUAUUUUGUUGGUUUCUAGGAUCAACGUAAUGAUUAAUAGGGAUAGUUGGGGGCAUUAGUAUUCAAUUGUCAGAGGUGAAAUUCUUGGAUUUAUUGAAGACUAACUACUGCGAAAGCAUUUGCCAAGGAUGUUUUCAUUAAUCAAGAACGAAAGUUAGGGGAUCGAAGACGAUCAGAUACCGUCGUAGUCUUAACCAUAAACUAUGCCGACUAGGGAUCGGAUGAUGUUAAUUAUUUAAUGACUCAUUCGGACCG
RNAcentral lists this ribosomal RNA (516 nucleotides) under uncultured Glomus. RNAcentral describes it as "SSU rRNA". It matches the Rfam family "Eukaryotic small subunit ribosomal RNA", at positions 569 to 1087 of the family's 1831-position model. Lineage: Eukaryota; Fungi; Glomeromycota; Glomeromycetes; Glomerales; Glomeraceae. The record is from RNAcentral.